AGCGAACGCUGGCGGCAGGCCUAACACAUGCAAGUCGAACGAACUCUUCGGAGUUAGUGGCGGACGGGUGAGUAACACGUGGGAACGUGCCUUUUGGUUCGGAAUAACUCAGGGAAACUUGUGCUAAUACCGAAUGCGCCCUUCGGGGGAAAGAUUUAUCGCCAUUAGAGCGGCCCGCGUCUGAUUAGCUAGUUGGUGAGGUAACGGCUCACCAAGGCGACGAUCAGUAGCUGGUCUGAGAGGAUGACCAGCCACACUGGGACUGAGACACGGCCCAGACUCCUACGGGAGGCAGCAGUGGGGAAUCUUGCGCAAUGGGCGAAGGCCUGACGCAGCCAUGCCGCGUGAAUGAUGAAGGUCUUAGGAUUGUAAAAUUCUUUCACCGGGGACGAUAAUGACGGUACCCGGAGAAGAAGCCCCGGCUAACUUCGUG
Molecule: ribosomal RNA, 433 nt
Filed under: uncultured bacterium
Lineage: Bacteria
Description: partial 16S ribosomal RNA
Rfam family: Bacterial small subunit ribosomal RNA
Source: RNAcentral